This 254-nucleotide ribosomal RNA is filed under the name uncultured bacterium. Its description in RNAcentral is "partial 16S ribosomal RNA". It matches the Rfam family "Bacterial small subunit ribosomal RNA", at positions 524 to 776 of the family's 1533-position model. The record is from RNAcentral.
UACGAAGGGGGCUAGCGUUGCUCGGAAUUACUGGGCGUAAAGGGCGCGUAGGCGGAUGUUUAAGUCGGGGGUGAAAGCCCAGGGCUCAACCCUGGAAUUGCCUUUCGAUACUGGACAUCUUGAGUACGGGAGAGGUGAGUGGAACUCCGAGUGUAGAGGUGAAAUUCGUAGAUAUUCGGAAGAACACCAGUGGCGAAGGCGACUCACUGGCCCGUUACUGACGCUGAUGCGCGAAAGCGUGGGGAGCAAACAGG